This 1074-nucleotide long non-coding RNA is filed under the name Canis lupus familiaris (dog). RNAcentral's name for it is "lncRNA (ENSCAFG00040006554.1)". Lineage: Eukaryota; Metazoa; Chordata; Mammalia; Carnivora; Canidae. The record is from RNAcentral.
GAUGAUAAUAUUUUAGAUGGUAGUUUGUUUUUGUUUUUUCUCUUUUGUCCGUGCAAAAAUGAAAUGGCAAUUCUAUGUUGGUCCCUAAGUUUUAAAAAUUUUGUCAUUCACUGCAAAUCCAUUCUACCAACUAGUUGUCAAACUCAACCACCACAUAUAAUAUAUUAAGAAACUAAAAAAGUGCCUAAAAAGGUGAUGUAAUUGCUUCAGGUUUUGAGAAUACAUCUGAAACCGGAAGCUUGUUUUGAUAGAUGGGACAAAGAAACAAUUCCCUCAAAGCAAAAGAAUCUGAAGAUAGUAUUUCUAUAGAUGUUAGUAUAGUAUAUCUAUAGAUUUCUAUAGAUAGUAUUUCUAGACAUGUCGAUAUAGACAAUUAACCUAAAAUAUAUUACCAUAAAGUAGAGUAGUGAAAAAAAAAAAAGGUAGAGUAGUGUGAGAAAUGAAAGCAGGGUCCUGGGUUCUAGGCCUUCUUGUGCCUCUAACAAGCUUUACAUUUUAGAAAAACCUUUCAUUUCCCUCAGUCAAUAUUUCCCAUCCGUAGAGGCAAGAGGAUUUUCAAGACCAUUUCCUGCAUAAACAUUAGCUACUGGAGACAGCAUGGUUCAGUGGCAGAAGAUUCAGACUCUAGAGAACACUGUCCAGUUUGCAUCCUGACUGAGGGACCCUGGGUCACAAAUGCAGUUAACACUGGUGAAGAGAGACUGAGAAAAAAGAGGCCAAGAAACCAUCACAUCGGCUACAUGUUCUGAUUUCACAGAGAAGUAGAGUGUCAGACAGGACACAGUCAUAGCUCUAGGGAAAUUGAGGUCUUUAAAAUGAUUAUUUUGAAUUCUAGAUGAUGCCAUUUUGCUUUUCGCAACUCAAUAUUCCAGCCACAGAAUUGUCCCCUUGGAACAUUCUCCUACUUGAAGUUUCCACGGUUUGAAUGAAAGACGUGUAAGAAAUAUUUUCAUAUUGUCUGUCACACUUAAAUUCAAAUGUCAUGUUUAAUGAGCCACAGGCCACUGAUCUAAAGCAGAGAUCAUUAAUUGUUCAAAGCCUAGGGUGAAGUCAGCAUUAGUGUGAUAAUUUGAC